GCUAUUUUAUGUGGGGAGAGAAUAAGAAAAAGCUGUCCUAUGAAUUUAAGCCUUUAUUCAGCUGACAAGUCUCACAUGAGCCAGAUUCCUCCAGGACUUGUUAUUCCCUGGCUGACUUGUGGACUUUUCUGCAUAUAGUUAACCUUUUUCUUAAGAGUUACAUUACAGUAACUCUAAACUAUAAAUAAUUUAAAGUGCAGUAUAUCAAUAAAAUAAAAAACAAGAUAUUUUAAAAAUAAUCUUGCAAAUGGGUAGUAGCUUAGGCAGAACUGUUUUAGGACCUUUCGUAGGCCCCACUAUACAUCAUAUCUAACAUAUUGAAAUGGACCCACUUCCGACAUUAUGCAAUAGUUCUGUUAUAAAAAUCUGGAAAGAAUCUUUAAAACUUUACUCUGAAAAUAAUUUGGUUACUAUUGAGCUCAUUUAAAUAACGAAGGGCUCUGAUUCUCUGGUAUCAUCCAGAAUGCUUGAAAAUCCUUGCCAAAUGAAAAGAAUUCAGCCCGCAAGUUUUUUUUUUCCAAACGUAAUGAAGUUUUUACGAAUACUUACUUGACAAUUAUUGAAGUUGGCCUAAUAUUACACUUUGAACUUUUAAUUAAAUCUUAAACUUGAUUUUGCAGUUUUCUUUUUGUGUUUUGGAAUCAAUUGCUUCAUUUUUCAGUUCUCAAGUAUUUUCAUAACCCAUAAAAAGCUCAUAAGCUCUCAAACACUGAGGACAAUACUAAGUGCUAUGGACAACAGAGUCAUGGAAAUGGGAUCUGGAAGGAAAUGGAAUUCUGGUAAGAAGUGACUCAUGCAAGGAGACACACUUAAUAUUUCUGGAUACCGUACUAUGUCCUGCAUUACUUUGAUAAUCACGAGUUAUACCUUAUACUUUGCUACUGAUGUGAAGGAAGGCAACAAGCAUUCACUGUAGGGACUUACUCAUGAUCCAGCUCAUACUAGAUAUCAGAUGAUUUUAAAAAAGCACAAGUUGUGGUCACCACCCUAGAGCACCUAAUCAUUUAGUUUGGAAGAAAAAUGUUGCUCUCCUUGAAGUUUUCUCCAUCAUAACUGAACCCAUGAGAGUGCCUGAGAGUGCAAGAUAAUGAAUCAAGGGUUUGGUUCUUGAAUGGCCAAACUGAACAAUCAUUGUCUGGCUGUACCAAAAUCAUUUGUCAAAUUGUCCUUUAAAAUACCUGACUAAUGACUUAUGAACUGAGGGUUGCUGGGGCUCCAGCAUUCCCCCUAUACUGGAGGAAGAAGCUUUAGAGUCCUGUCGGGAACCGACUUUAUUUUUACUCAGUCCCAGGGAUGUAGUUUCAAUUAGGGUUAGGUUUCUACUCCAUGUAGCUAAACUAGAAACACAAAGAGCAGAUUUUAGCCCAGAGUGAAACACGUAUAUCUGAAUUUAACUCUUGACUCUCAUUCUGCUCGAUUGCUCAGUGGGUAUGGUCAAUAUUUUUACCUCUGAAAUAAACUUUGUUUUCUAAGGAUAAAUGGAAUGUAUUAUUUUGAAAUAGCACAAGAUAUUCAACAGAGGCCUUAAUAAACAAAUGCUUUUUCUUCAUUGUUGCUGUUACCUAACUAGGUCCUGUACUGGAAAUUAUAUGGCUUCAGUAAUGCUGAAGAGCUCUUGUCCUUUAGUAACCAGGACUGUGCAUCUGCAGGUGGUACAGAGCUCAUGACAAAGAAUCAUCGAACCAUAUGAAGCCCUUUAGUGGGGUGAUCAGAUAUCCACAAAGAAGAGCGCUCAUCCCCCAGGAAUGAGAGCCCGAUGGGACCAACUUUCUAUACUUAUAAAGAGAAGUUUGAAAGUAUAUGAGAGAUCUUCCCAUUUUAAAUAUUGGCACUAAUUAAAAAUUUUAAAAAUA
Manis pentadactyla (Chinese pangolin) is the source of this 1853-nucleotide long non-coding RNA. RefSeq lists it as uncharacterized. Lineage: Eukaryota; Metazoa; Chordata; Mammalia; Pholidota; Manidae. The transcript is spliced from 2 exons. The record is from RefSeq and is a predicted model, not a curated record.